UGAUUAUUCAGUAGAACAGGAGACUGAAAUAAAAAGGUAUUAUUUAGUAAAAAUACAGAGAAUUCUAAAACAUAUAAUAUUAGCAGAUAUAAUGAGAAGCUGCCACCUCCACGGUUAAGAAAGACACCCAGUAAAGAACUUUGCCUCCAGGGCUGAGAUAUACUGAACUUUCCAGUGAGGGUUCUGUUCACUGAAUAGCUGAAAAGUUGCAGUAAUAUCAGGGUGAUGGAACUUGCUGAAGAUUUGUUCUUUUGGGUGCUAGGAAAAAACUAUUCAGGUGGAUAUGUCUUACUGGAGAAAAUUUUUGAAACUUCUUGAGGGAGUGCCAUGGGAACCUGCUGGCUGCUGCUGUCUGCCAUCCCCUGCAAAAGCCAGAUGCUUGAGAAGGCGUGGUACCUGCAGGAACUGGGCAGUGAAGGAGCUACACUUGCUGCAAGAGCCUGUAGAAAGGCACACUAGAACCAAUAAGCAAAACCUAUUCCUUCUGUAACAUCUCUCCAGCACUCUUUACUGGCAGCUGGCAAAGCUCAAAGAAUCUUCAUGCAGUAGACAUUUCAAGGUUGGAGAAAUUUUACAGUACAUGAAAUAGUUGAAGUUUGACAGCAAUUUUGGGAUUACAGCAAUUUUGGCUGUAUGUGGGAUGAAAUAAACUCCACUAAGGUGGGAAGAUUACCUGGGACCAGGCGGUCGAGGCUAUGGUGAGCUGUGAUCAUGACACUGCACUUCAGCCUGGACAAUGGGGCAAGAACCUAUUUAAAAAAUAAAAUAAAAUACUCCAAGGGUUCAUUUGACUUUGA
RNAcentral lists this long non-coding RNA (797 nucleotides) under Homo sapiens (human). RNAcentral's name for it is "HSALNT0011659". The record is from RNAcentral. Lineage: Eukaryota; Metazoa; Chordata; Mammalia; Primates; Hominidae.